This is a non-coding RNA of Trichobilharzia regenti, 417 nucleotides long. Lineage: Eukaryota; Metazoa; Platyhelminthes; Trematoda; Strigeidida; Schistosomatidae. The record is from Rfam.
CUGGUUGAUCCUUCCGUUAGUCAUAUGCUUAUCUCAGAGAUUAAGCCAUGCAUUUAUAAGUACAUAAAUUAAAACGAUGAAACCGCGAAUGGCUCAUUGAAUCAGCUAUGGUUCCUUAGAUCUUAUAUACUACAUGGAUAACUGUAGUAAUUCUAGAGCUAAUAUAUGCAAUUAUGCCCUGAUCCGCAGGGGAACGUGUGCAUUUAUUAGAACAGAAGUAACCGGGGGCAGUUUCAGCUGUUUCCUGUUGAAUUCUGUGAUGACUCUGGAUAACUUUAAUAAUCGCAAAUCGGUCUUGUGUCGGCGACGGAUCUUUCAAAUAACGAAGUCACCGUCAACUAGGCUGUACAUUUAUGAUUCCACGUUAAUUUAUUUAUUAGGUGUAUCACACAGUGUGAAACAGUAUUAUUGUUUACU